AAAGAGGAGAGGGGAAGGAAGAAAAUAAGUCUUCUGAAAAGCUAAGCAGGAAGUCCCUUAAUCUUCCUUAAGAAAUAAAAUUUAAAAGAUUUCUACCUGUGCCAUAAAGAAACAACAAGAGAGACCAAAAUUAAUCAUGUUUUUUAAAAAAGAGCAAGCACCAAAGUUGCCAUCAAGCCAACAGGCAUUAGCUUAAGCGCUCUAACCUGCAGGUUUUCAACAAUUAACUUUUUAAAGGAUUGCUCACCAAUCUACCUUGAUUUCCUUACACGGAGCAAUGUCAAUAUUGGCAGGCAUUUCUUAAAGUUCUGACUGUGCAGAGAUAAUGCCAUCUACGCAGGGCACCUGGGCCAUCGGGGGAGCAGAGUUAGACUGUAGCUGUAUGUCCAUGAGAGGAGUGAUUUCAUGGAGAAAGGCACCGAGCACAGAAAGUCAAGAUGCAGCCAAGUAAUAAGUCUACUAUGGUAAUGUUAAUAGGUCUGGACACAGCUAGAGGCUGCUGUUCUCCCCAGCAAGGUGACAAUGUGUGGAUUAGAUCUGUGACUCAUAGCCAGUCUCUGACCUCAUCCUGGACAGACACGGAGGUAGCCACGGCAGCACAUCCACAGACCUCCCAGAAGAGGACUGCCAUUGCUUCAGAGAGUGAUGAGGAGGAUGAGAUAAGUGUAUUUGAAGUGAGGUGGUUAAUUUCAGUGGAAUUAAUGGUAAGGUGCCUUGUACUGUAAUAAACAUUCUUUUAAAAAAAUUGAAACAUUCACCGUAUUUUGUGAUCAUAGCGUAUACAUGGAGCCCU
Molecule: long non-coding RNA, 793 nt
Filed under: Chinchilla lanigera (long-tailed chinchilla)
Lineage: Eukaryota; Metazoa; Chordata; Mammalia; Rodentia; Chinchillidae
Description: lncRNA (ENSCLAG00000025647.1)
Source: RNAcentral